CUGAACCUUCAAAAGAGCCAAAGGAAUACAGAAUUGCCUGUGGAAAAAUGUUAAUAAGUGUUCUGUAUUAAAGCUGGGGCUUGAGUUGUUUUGUUAUUGAGAGACACUUAUAAUAAAGAUUAGAGAAAAUUACUAACCUCGAAUUUCAUUCUUUGUCUUUAAGGUAUUUAACUUUUUUUAUGGCAUGUUGGCCUAGACGUGGAGUAUUUCUGGUUGAUACAUUAGUAGUAAAAUUGUUUCUUUAACUUGGGGACAAUAAGAAGGCCCAGGGUAGGAUACUUCAAUAUAGGCAGACAAAAAUCUGCCAGUGAAUUUUCUUUUAGAAGGGCAAACACUCCCCCCCC
Molecule: long non-coding RNA, 344 nt
Organism: Phyllostomus discolor (pale spear-nosed bat)
Lineage: Eukaryota; Metazoa; Chordata; Mammalia; Chiroptera; Phyllostomidae
Exons: 2
Source: RefSeq, a predicted model, not a curated record